AUGCAGCACCUCCGGGCCACCCUGGCGACAUCACGCUCAAGGCCGUCUUUGAGGACAUCGGCAAGUUCUACCUCAUCAUGGAGCUCUGCAACGGCGGCCGCUUGCUGGACGAGAUGGCCAGAUAUGUCUACCUUCUCUGAGUUGCAAGCCACAUUUGUGAUCAAGGAUCUCAUGUCAGUGGUGAAGUACUGCCACCAAAUGGGCGUCAUCCACAGGGACAUUAAGCCGGAAUAUAUUUUGUUCACCGGAACUCCGCCUAUGUCUUCUAGGCAUAGCCGGUCCCAAGCCCGGGUAAAGGAGGAGGGUUGUGAUAGGCUUGGCGAGCCAACGUAA
Molecule: ribosomal RNA, 333 nt
Filed under: Triticum aestivum (bread wheat)
Lineage: Eukaryota; Viridiplantae; Streptophyta; Magnoliopsida; Poales; Poaceae
Description: partial small subunit ribosomal RNA
Source: RNAcentral